UUUGACCUCGGCAAACAAGCUAAGCCCCGUGUUUAUGUCUCUGUAUCCAAUCAGAGAACAACGGGAGCAUCUGAUUGGCUGUCCAAAACCCUUGUGACACGAGCCUGUCGGAGCCAUCUUUAGUGUGGGACUGCCAGUACAUGUGACUGCGCAUGCUCCUCCCUUUCAAGGAGAAAAACGCCUGAAAGAAAGUCGCGCGGGGGGACGCGAAAAGUGUUUUCUUCUUCCUAGGGGGGCAUGACAGAAAAUAAUUGAGAAGCACUGGCCUAGAGGAACGUUGUCCAUGGGAUCGCGAUGAGUCAGACAUGAUUUCGCAACUAACAACAACAGCAACCCUCUGUACUCAUUGGUGAUGCAAUAAAUGGCAUAUUCCCAUAGUGGCAUCUGCCUAGCAGGAUAGCUUUAGACCAGUGGUUCACAAGCUCAGUAAAGUGAAGUUGUGUGGAAUUUUGCUCCCAGAAUUCCCUAUCCAACAUUUUUCAGUUAGGCUGCUACAAGCUUCAAGAGCUGCUUGUCUACCCCUCAACCCCAGUUCAUCCAGAGAAGGUGAGAGUCCAACAUACAAUUAACUGCAGAGGGCAAAACUAAUCAUUGUGUCCUGUUCCUUCUGAGUGAUGAGGUUAAGGUGGGAUGCUGUCCUUAUUGUUUGAUGCUGGACAAGUUAAAGCAAUUGGCAGAUGCCUUAAUUUGCCCUCCCACCAAAGGUCAUCAGCCAGCAGCAAAAAUAUGCAUUAAAGUGGGCUGGGGAAGAGACAAGUUUUGAUAAUCGCUCAGAGGGACAGGUUUUGGUCAAAUGUCCCUCUGGUUCUGCACAAAUAUUUUGCAAAGUAAGCUAUUGCGCUUAUCUGUUGAUUUAAGGACUGGAGGAAAGCAUCUUUGAAGAAAGACACAUAGAGGCAAAAGUGAUCUCACUUAAUAUUAGCAUCUUUUUUUACCCUGGAAUCAGAUUAUGUAUUUUCUUUUUCUUUUAUUACUAAUGUUGCAAGACUAAUUAAUAAACUAUUCUAUUAUAUAGUAAAUGAUCAAAAUUUUAGAGGCAUGCAACUGAAUCACAGAGUCCGUCUAGAUUUUAUUUUUUUUUGGUAGUUUAAAGCAAAUUGGUGCCCUUCCCUUUUCCAUCCUUCCAGUUUAGCAUUCACCUAGUGAAGAUUUCUUGGGAAAUCAAAAGCCUCCUCACUCCUUUGUUACUUCUUAGCUUAAUGAUUGUAACUUUCCUCUUCUUCCAAGAAAGCCUUCCUUUGCUGCUCUUAAAAUUCGGACACACCUUGAAUUUUAAUUUGCUGCCUUACAUGCUGCACUGAAUGGAAAUUCUGUCCUUCACGUACAAACCAGGCAUUAGUAUGCCAACUCUAAAUACUGACUCGAUAGUAAUUUACUGCAGGUCAUAUUAGGAAAAAUGAGAUAAAGCCAUUUUAAACUCUUAAAACCAUCAGUCUUUCGCUUGGCUUUUAUUUGUGUGUGAGCAGGUGGUUUUUUUUUUAAAAAAAAAGCAGGACAAAAAAGGCUGAAUAUCAGUAUGCAACAAAGGGCCAAUUGUUAGAUAGCAUUACGGGAGGAAGUCAAAUGUAUUUGUUCUACUGAGUCAGCACAGCUCAGGAUACUUUUCCAAAAGAAUGUAAACACCCGUAUUCUUGUUUAUAAAGCACACAAUCCUCUUGUGAGAAGCUUUGUCUUUAGGGUCAGGGUGCUUUAAACUGGGCUGAUCUUGAUCCAGGGCAUCUAUUUUUAUCCUGUCAUAAGUUGCUUUCGCUUCUCAUAUAGAGAUUCUAUAUGGCAAUUAUUGGGAGCAAUUUAACGAAUGCCUGUGUGCAAAAUCUUAGCAUUUUUAACUAGCAGAAUAUCACAUUAGCAGAAACUAUUUUCUUUUUAAGCAAGGGAUUUCCUGUGCUUGAAACAAAAGCAGAAAUGUCUGCCAGUGGCACUAGAAAUAGAUUGACAAAAUUCUUCUAAGUAUUCUGAGGUUACUUUCAUGGGUAUUGAGAGCAAAGGGCAGCAAAUGAUACCUACAUGAUAAUCUCAUCAUAUAAAUACUGUGGUUUACCAUAUAUAAUUAUGCCAGAUGUUGGGACAGGGGAAGUAAGGAUAGUACAGUAUUUGACGACAAAUCAUGUGUCAUGAUUUUGCAUCUUUAUGGUUUGCUGAAGACUUCAUAGUUACUUUUUAAUUGCAGGAAAUAAAUCUUGGGUUUUAAGUAAAGUCACUGAACUUUCUUUAGUUGUUAGCUCUUUAAAAGACAGCUAAAUUCACUCUCCAACCUAAGUGUUAGCUUGUUUUUAGCUUUGCUCAUUCAACCACCAGAGGUUUUAUGUGUGUGUCUAUACAUAUAUAUCAAUCUAGGUCAAAAGUUACAAUUUACAAACCAAAAAAUGAAUUGGGCCAAAAUCAAAUAUAUCAUGUUAUGGUUUAUGCCAACCCAAUUACAUGCAGUAUGUGUAUAAAAUGAACUGAACGUGUAAGCUGUUUUAACCACAGUAUUGCUUGUUGAACAAGCCACAGUUGGCUGGAUUUAUGCAUCAUGCUCCAGUAAAAUCAAACAAACGAUAUAAUGCAUGAUGCAUAUGAUGUAUGAAUCCAGUCUAACUAUGGUACUAUACUUUGGAAAUGCAGAAAAAUGGUGCCUGGGUGUCUGUGAAAGAGAAACAGGACAGAGGUCAUUUUUUCUGGAAGACUAGAUAGUCUGCACAGAUUAUUUUCCAGUUAGAAGAGCUGCCAAAGGGUGGGAUGGUUGCUGAUUGGCAGAACUACUUUUAUUCCUUUAGCCAUACUCUCUAUAUCUUUGAACCUGCCACAUCUAACCUGCAAAAUUCCAGACCACUAUUAAAUAUGCCAGCAGAUACAUUGCCCACCCCCAUUUCAUUGCCCAUGUAAUGGCCAUCUAGUUCUGCAGCCCCAAUCAGAUCGGCUCCAUUUUGUUUGUUUUUUCUUUAACAUUGUACAUUGAAUGUCCCCUGUGAUUUGUACAAUCCAUAGGAAAAAUCCUAUGCUAAUGUUAAUAUGUGAUGUUAAUUCUUUCUAAAAUGUGAAUUCAUCAAGUGGCAAAGGGUGAAAGGAGGUGUUUAAAAAACCCUCUCCCCUCUGGUCAAAUGAUCUACAACAGGGGUGUCAAACUGGCAGCCCAGGUGUUCUGUCCCCCUCCCCACCUCACAAAUAAGAACGCAUGAGCGAGUGUCUAACAGUCAUUUAAUUUACAACCGACCUGAAGUUCUUUUUGCGGAUAAAAGACUUGGCAGCUGCAGUUCAAAGGCCUGCCAAGUUACUUAUCACUUGGCAGAGACAGGAGUCCACGUGUCAGAAGCCGUUUCCGUGGCAGCCAAGAGUUCACAGAAUAAUUCCUUCACACAGUCCAGGCCUUAACUCAAAAACAACCGAUCCGAAGUUCACGCUUCGUAGUUUUGUCCGUCACAGGGGCUACGGAGCCACUCCGCCCACUUUUAUCCCCUGUGGGGUAUGACUCAGUGACUCAGCACUCUCUGGGCCUGCCACACCUCUUCCUUUGCUGUGCCCGCUUCUCCUUCCUACGCUGUCUGGGAUCAAUACAGGAUUGAUCCUCCUCACUCUCUGACGGUGGGGGCUCUGACACACUUUCUUCCUGGCCUUCUGCUGGCACCUGAGGUAUUGCCAGAAAGGAGGGACCUGGAGAGGGAGGCCUUGUCGGCUCCUCUCCCUCAGAGUCAUCCUCCUCCAUGAAGACAGGCUCGGGAGCCGGAGUCACAACACCAGGGGCCGGAUGCGUCACGUGCAGACCACACCCACCCCAGCUCCAUGAAUGGGGAAAAUGCCAUGAAACAUCCCAUGACGGCAAUGUGACAUGAUAAUUUUCACAGAAUCAUAGAAUGGAAGAAAUGGAAAGAACAUUGGAAAUUAUCUACUCCAAUCUCCUGGCAUUUUUUCUUCUUGCUGCUUAAAAUACGGUGACAAAAACCUCCACAUAAUCAAUUAACAUAGCCAUUUUCCUGUGAUGCAAGUUUUAAGAACAUAAAAGCCCUACAGGAGUCUAAACAUCUUUUUUACAUCGUGGCGACCAAAACUGGAUGCAAUAUUUCAAGGGUGGCCUUACCAAGGCAUUAUAAAGUGGCACUAACACUUCACGUGAUCUUGAUUCUAUCCCUCUGUUUAUGCAGCCCAGAAUUGUGUUGGCAUUUUUGGCAGCUGCUGCACACUGUUGGCUCAUAUCUAAAUGGUUAUCCAUUAGGACUCCAAGAUCCCUCUCACAGAUAGCGCCCAAUGUUCAAGUCUGUCAAGAUCUUUCUGUAUCUUGAGCCUAUCUUCUGGAGUGUUGGCUAUUCCUGCCAGCUUGGUGUCGUCUGCAAAUUUGAUGAGUUCCCCAUCUAUCCCCUCGUCCAAGUCAUUGAAGAAGGAUUGGUGAAGGAGAAGAAGGAUUGCUGUAAAAAGGAAAAGAUGAAAUGGAAGAAAGACAAUCCCGAACAUAUUUGAAUAUAUUAGGUUAAAAAAUUGAAACAGUUAAACAAGAAUGAAAAGAGAAUGAAUAUUAAUAAAAAUGGAGAAAUUAGAACUUGAGGGCGAAAGAAGAUGUGACUUAUGGAAAUGAGCAAGGAAAUAUUAGGAUAUGGAUAUCAGAGGGAAUUUUUACUUCGUUUUUACUUUGCUGUAAACCGCCCUGAGUCCUUCGGGAGAAGGGCGGUAUAGAAAUCAAAAUAAUAAAAUAAUAAAAUAAAAUUUCCAUCUUGGUGAAGAAUUUUGAAAUCAAUUAAGUGUGAGAAUGCCAUUGAAGCUAUGAAAAUACAUUAUUUUGCAAUUUGAAACACACACACACACACAAAGCAGAGCAAAAUUUAAGUAAAAGGUUGAUUGCAAGAUUUUCUCAUGACUAGCUUCAUCAUAGCUGAGUUACCCAAUUAGCUCAGUAUUUUUAUAACUUCAUGUGAUACUAUGAAUCAUCAGCAUACAGUAUAGGCUACUUUGACACAGCCUAUACUAAAUUUGAGAGCCAAGGCAUGGAAGGGAUUGUAGAGGACGUUUUACCAAACUCCCUGGCCAGUGAAAGAAUCCAGUACAGGUAAUCAUUACUUAAUAACCACAAUUGAGACCGGCAAUUCUAUUGCUAAGUGAUGUAGACAUCAAAUAAAACAUCACGCAACCAUGCCAGAAUCAUGAGUGACUUACCAUUGAGUCAUUAAGCAAAUCACCCACAGUUGUUAAAUGAAACAUCAGAUGACUAUAACUUAACAUUUUACUGCUGGCUUCUCCAUUGAAUUGCUUGUCAGAAACCAACUGUGAAGCUUGCAGAUGGGGGUCAUGUGGUGUUGUGGUAAUUGUAAGUUCAAAGAGAAAUCAUAAAAGUCACUUUUUCUCAGCUCUUGUGACUUUGAACAGUUGUUAAACUGGGUAGUUGUUAACUGAGGAUUUAUUGUACUAUAAGUUGGGUGGCUCUUCAAACUGCCAUCUUCCAAAGCAGUGUUGCAUUGCUAAAUAGUACUUACCAUAGGAAUAUUUUCUUGAUAUCAGGAGAUGUUUGCUCCAUGGAAUUAAAACCUCUUGUUUCUGACCUUAAGGUCAUGACCCCAGUAUUCUCGAGGCUCAAUAUAAUUGACGCUAAUCUUUCCUCAUAAGUUUUUCAAACCAGGUUCCUGGCCAUCUUUGACAGGACACUCUCCAAUUUGUAAGUAUGAAUGACCUUCCUAAAAUGACCUUCCUUACAAUUGGAUGUAAUAUUCCAGGUGCUAAAUGAUAAUAAUAGAUAGGAAUGAUGUUGUUCAAUGUUCGUGCAAACAUUGCCCAAAAAUGAUUCUGGAUAUUUGCUACCAUCUUUACUAAUGACAUAUCAACCAACCAUAUCAUUAAUUAUGUAAUGGAUAGUUUGUUUCACAGAAUCAAUUGUAUAAAUGCUGCUUUACUGUCACUUUGCUUCUUUGCAAGCUUAUGCUAUUUCAUAUAUUGUAUAUAUUGUAAUCAUUGGUUUGGCUUAGUUAGGUAGCAUUCUUCUCCUUCUGAGUUUGUUUAUUAACCACUAUAAUCCUUGUAAAUGUGGGUCAAUUGUAAAUACUGUAAAAUAAAUAAUAUUUGGUUUAUACAAAAUAGGAAACAUUACAAACAAAUAUAUGAAACAAAAC
Molecule: long non-coding RNA, 6071 nt
Organism: Ahaetulla prasina
Lineage: Eukaryota; Metazoa; Chordata; Lepidosauria; Squamata; Colubridae
Exons: 5
Source: RefSeq, a predicted model, not a curated record